Hyaena hyaena (striped hyena) is the source of this 188-nucleotide long non-coding RNA. RefSeq lists it as uncharacterized. The record is from RefSeq and is a predicted model, not a curated record. The transcript has 2 exons. Lineage: Eukaryota; Metazoa; Chordata; Mammalia; Carnivora; Hyaenidae.
UCGCCUUGGAAGUGGUAUACCUAGCGUUGAGAGUACAUUUUCCAAAUACUGAUAUCCUACUUUCAGGGUGAAACAUGAGUGGACAAGUGACAGCAAGGUAUAAAUCUAAAGAAAGAAAGGGUAAUCAAGAGGCUAACCAGCCGGCUCCACCUGUGGCUGUCCAGCAGCCGAGUGAUGAGCAACAUCAA